Molecule: ribosomal RNA, 207 nt
Filed under: uncultured bacterium
Lineage: Bacteria
Description: partial 16S ribosomal RNA
Rfam family: Bacterial small subunit ribosomal RNA
Source: RNAcentral
CACGUAGGCGGAUAUUUAAGUCAGGGGUGAAAUCCCAGAGCUCAACUCUGGAAUUGCCUUUGAUACUGGGUGUCUUGAGUAUGAGAGAGGUGUGUGGAACUCCGAGUGUAGAGGUGAAAUUCGUAGAUAUUCGGAAGAACACCAGUGGCGAAGGCGACACACUGGCUCAUUACUGACGCUGAGGCUCGAAAGCGUGGGGAGCAAACA